GAAAAGUCUCAUCCAAGUCAGAAAAAGCAGAUUUAUCCCCACACAUAUGAUUGCUGCAACCGGUAUCUAAGUACCAUAGAUUUUGGUGACUUUCCUCCUUUGUAUGACAUGCCAUAAGAAGGGAAAUUUCUUCUUCCUUCUUUUCUGCAAAGUUAGAUUUCUCGCCACGAUUCUUAUUUAAAUUAGUACGGCACUCGGAGCGGUAAUGACCGUACUUCUGACAACGGAAGCAUUUAACAUUCGAUUUGUC
This 250-nucleotide long non-coding RNA is filed under the name Citrus maxima (pomelo). RNAcentral's name for it is "long non-coding RNA (CMAX_LNC000803)". The record is from RNAcentral. Lineage: Eukaryota; Viridiplantae; Streptophyta; Magnoliopsida; Sapindales; Rutaceae.